Molecule: long non-coding RNA, 2961 nt
Organism: Brassica napus (rape)
Lineage: Eukaryota; Viridiplantae; Streptophyta; Magnoliopsida; Brassicales; Brassicaceae
Exons: 2
Source: RefSeq, a predicted model, not a curated record
GUUUUGCUGUGAACCAAGUGAGUCAGCAUAUGCAGGCGCCAAAGGUCCAUCAUGUUGGAAUGAAGAAGUAAGAAGCUGGAGUUGAUGAAGAGACCAAGCUUCAAGAGCAAGCAAAUCCGGAACAAGCAGAUUUGAAUCUGUCCGUACAGUUUUGGCUUGCAAGUAACCAAACCUAACCUAGAGUGUCUUGGAAGUCAAGGCAAGUGGGGAACUCGUCCAGCUGAGCUUUCUGAAGCAUAUUUGAAGUUUAAACUAAGUAUGAGACCGUUGGAGAGAGAUCUGGCAAGUUGGAGAAUUAAUUAAGAUAAAAGUCACAUGUGCAUAAGGAGAUGAACCUGCUGUCACUUUCACCCAACCAGACUGUGCCCAUCUCUCUCUCCUGUCACUCUCUACUCCCUCUGGUCGAGAUUCUCCUUGGCUGCAUCCUCCUGGCUCCAUCAGAAACCCUACAAUAAUAUUAGUUUAGUAAAUCUGUACUUUAACAAUUGUUUAAUCACUUGCAACUUGUAAUCUGGCUAUAAAGCCACCCCAUUGUAACCAUUACGAAAUUAAGCUGAAUGGGGGAGUUUCCCCUUUCUUCUUCACCAUUCUCAAGUCUCUUAUACUCUCCUAAUCUCUGGUUACAAGAAUCUCUCUCAUACUCUCUCAAAUCUCACUUAAUCUCUCUUAUUCUCCAUUGCAGUCUCUUUAAUUCUCACUUACUGUCUUCACUCUGUUCUCCUUCAAUCCGACCACUCUCUGUUCUAAACAACACUCACACAUCAUAAUCUGUCUAUUCUCACAUGGUAUCAGAGCUCCAAGCUCCUGAGAAUCCAUAGAGCUUCCGCAAAUCUAUUACAGUUCAUACUUCUCUUCAAAAAUCUCUGUUUCUGUUCAUCCUUGUAUCCUCUGGUCUAAAGCUUUUCCAGGAGGGAAGAGACUCACCAGAACUCAAGAUAAAGGAGGUCUUUAGUAUCUGAAACUCAAAGCUUCCACAAUUCAAGCAUAGGCUCAUCCUCAUUGUUAUUUCAAAUCAUUGGAGAGUUUCUGUCCAGCCAGCUGUUCAAUCUCUUCAAGAGGAAGAAGACUAAACAUGGCGUGUCCAGAGACUUCCCAAGGUCUAUCAUCCUUUCUCCUGUUCAGCCUGAAGAGAUCUCUUGGAGAAAGAAGGUUUUGGAGCUGUUUGGCAAGCAAUGCUCCAAACCAAGUCUGUACAAGUGAUUUUCAAGUUCUUCCCAAAAUGGAGUCUCUCACUGUGUGCCAGAAGGUGGCGCCUGGUAAUCAGGAAGAAAGGAGGGGUCUUAAGCAUGAGUGGUCUAAAGGGAAAGCACACACAAGGAAAUGGCGUGGGGUAGAGAUCCCAAACUCCAAAUCUGUCAAGUUCAAGUGAACAGUGUGCCUUGGAGGUUCAAGGAACCAGCUCAGGUUCCUUGUUUGUAAGUUAACCUCCUACCUUUAAUAAGAGCUUGAGUAGUUAUGUCUGGUUGUGUUGAGUGGUGUGUUUGGUAUCCUUGGGACAGGUUCAAGUUGCUAGAGUUGUUGAACCUAGUUCCUGUCCCAUGAUACUUAAAUUGUGUGUGUUGCUCUGUUUCUUAAAUUAUUUCGAGGAGUUGUCUAGCAUGGUAUUGUCUAGUUCCUGUCCUAGAUUAAUUGUUUCUGUUUGUAUUGUGCUAGGCGAUUUGUUUAGCUACUGUCAUUGUCUUGUUGCAUUGAUAGAGGUCUAGGAGAGUCUCCUGAUCUUGUAUUGCAUUAUAUAUAUAUUGUUCAAGAUGAUUAGAUGAGUUGUUUAGUCUCUGUUUAUUGUCUUUAAAAUUCAUAAAAAGAGCCUAAUUGCCUUGUUAUUGAUGAGUUAUCAUACCUGAGCAGUUAGUGAUGUUUAGUAUGCAUGGAGUUGAACUGAAUGAGUUGUUUAGAUUCUGUUCAUUGCAUAUUUUCUUUCUCUUAAAACAUUGGGAUCAGACUUGGUGAAUUAUCAAGGGCUGAUCCUAGUGUGUGUGGUCUGAUUCUUGCUGGAGUUUGAGUGAUGUUUCAGGUACACAAGAGGUGAUCUCUGUCCAUCAUCAAACUAAGACAAAGAAGAAGGCAUUGCCCACGUUUUUCAGAGCCUCCCAAGAUGGAUAUUCCUGAACCGUGGAGAUUGCCCAGUCCCAAAUCCUAUCUAUGUGUCUGCCCAUUUCCUACCCUGAAGAUAGAAAGGAUGUUGGAGAAUUGGAGAAACUGCUCAGAAGUGACUUACCUGAUGCCAAGAGGAUGUACAGGAGGUGCACUCAAGAGAAAAGGCCAUCACUAAGCCAAGAGUGGCCGGUGGUCAGAGGCAUGGGUCAAGGUGUUUAGUCCUGACCAUGUAAAGAUACCUUGUGAGUGGAAUCAGUUGGCUUAAGCGCAGGCGUAGGAGCUGUUGUGCUCCUGGCAAAUGGUGAACUGGUUGGCUUAAGCGCAGAUGUUGGUAUUGUUGUGCUCCCAGUUCAAAACUCAUUGAAGCUCACGUUCAAGCUUGUCACUAUACUCAGUCAAGCUUGAGGAGGGGAAUAUCAGUGAGCUACCAAAAGAUCCAUGAAGCUUACUGUAUCCAGUGUCCCAUUUCCUCAUAGAAGACCAGCAAGAGGUUGGCGAAUUAAAAGAGGACUUAAGUGAUCAGUCUGAAGAAGCUGUCACUCCUCACUGUUCUUACCAGCCAGAUGCAAGGAUUAUUCAAUCAGGGACAUUCUUGGCUAAGCAAUCACAUGAUGGUGGCAAAUUAUGGAGUUGCAAAGUCCCCCUACAUGUUGAAACUUCAAGAGAAUAAUGCAAAGGCUGGUUGAGAGAAGGAAUGGCGUGGAGGAUUCAAGUGCUUAGUAAUCCUCACCAACAUUCAACAAACUGAUGCAAGGGAAGUACCUAAAACCAUUAUUAUUCUUAUGAGUGAAUAGGUUUGCCCCUUGAGAAUUGAUACAUGCAUUUUUUGGAUGAUUGAAUCAGGUACCUAUUGAGCUCAUGAACAAA